RNAcentral lists this ribosomal RNA (429 nucleotides) under Pseudomonadota bacterium. RNAcentral describes it as "Proteobacteria bacterium partial 16S ribosomal RNA". It matches the Rfam family "Bacterial small subunit ribosomal RNA", at positions 355 to 776 of the family's 1533-position model. Lineage: Bacteria; Pseudomonadati; Pseudomonadota. The record is from RNAcentral.
UGGGGAAUAUUGGACAAUGGGCGAAAGCCUGAUCCAGCCAUGCCGCGUGUGUGAAGAAGGUCUUCGGAUUGUAAAGCACUUUAAGUAGGGAGGAAGGGCAGUAAGCGAAUACCUUGCUGCUUUGACGUUACCGACAGAAUAAGCACCGGCUAACUCUGUGCCAGCAGCCGCGGUAAUACAGAGGGUGCAAGCGUUAAUCGGAAUUACUGGGCGUAAAGCGCGCGUAGGUGGUUCGUUAAGUUGAAUGUGAAAGCCCCGGGCUCAACCUGGGAACUGCAUCCAAAACUGGCGAGCUAGAGUAGGGCAGAGGGUGGUGGAAUUUCCUGUGUAGCGGUGAAAUGCGUAGAUAUAGGAAGGAAAACCAGUGGCGAAGGCGACCACCUGGGCUCAUACUGACACUGAGGUGCGAAAGCGUGGGGAGCAAACAGG